CGGGGUUGGGCGUCCGCUGGCUGUUACCAGGGCAACCGGAGGCGGUUGACAGUUAUCCGCGGGUUGGAGUGGUUAGCUGGAGAGGCUGAGAUGCUCAGAGGUCGUUUGGGAUGAGCGAAGGGGUCAAGAGGGCCCUUUUAAAGAGCAGAUUCUCCUGUCAGGAGGUUAUCCAGUUGUGCCCCGCAGGAGCGCCUGCCCGGGGGAUCUGGGUCAUGCCGUCUGGUUCGUCUUUGAGCAUUCCGACGAGAUGAAAUGUGGCCCAGAGUAGCUCCUGUCACUUCUCUAGCUUUCUGCCUCCUUUUAGAAAAUUGAGUUGAAGAGACAGAGAUGAAGUGGACGCAGCAUGUGAAGACAAUUCUUUCAAGAAGUUUGGCUGUAAAGGAGAAAAAAAAGGUGCUAUAGACCGUAUAAGCACAGAGCAGACAGGCCACCUUUGCUGCCACGUGGAGGCUUGUCUAAAAUGGAGGCUAAAGAAGCCAACCUGGAAGACAGAACCCAAGUCCGGAUGACAGCACUUGAUCCCAGGAAUCCAGACACGCCUAAAGACCAGCUUUACCACUGGACUUUCCAGUUAAAGGAGCCAGUAAACUCUCUUUUAUGCUAAUCUUGGGUUUUAUCUGGGUUUUUGUCGUUUACUAUUCAGAACAUCCUAAUACAUCAUUAAAUCAACAUUAUUUGUUUCUUCUAUGCGUUGUUUAAAUCUGUUACUCUACGAUGUACUCGAUAAUGUAAUCUACAGUUCUCACUAAAUUAAUCCGUAAAUUGAGUGCAAUCCAAACCUUAAUCCCAAUGGUAUUUUAAGAGCUUUUGUUGUUUUGGAACUAAGAAAAAUUACUCCAAAAUUCACUGAGAAAAAACAUUAAAAUACAAGAAAAUAGGGAGAGAAUUCAUAAAAAAGAAUUGUAUAAUCAGAUAGUAAAUAUCAAAAUAGAGAGCAAGAAUAAUAAACGUAGGGUGGUAAUGGAGUAGCAAUAAGCAGUCAUGGAACAGAAUUCAAAGUGUGAGUAUAUGUAGGAGUAUUUGCCAUAUUUAAUAUCUGGUAAGUCAAGAAAAGGUUAAGUAAAUAAAGUAUUUAAGGACAAUGAGCUAGAUUUGAAGGAGAAAAAUAGAUAGGUCUUUACCUUAUUCAUCAUUCCAGAAUAAAUUCCAAAUGGAUUUAUGACUUAAAUAUAAAAAUCGAAGCCAGAUUCUCAAUAUACAUUGGUUGGUGUAUAAUUGGUACACUCUUUAGCAAUAUCUGUUAA
Equus quagga is the source of this 1244-nucleotide long non-coding RNA. RefSeq lists it as uncharacterized. The record is from RefSeq and is a predicted model, not a curated record. Lineage: Eukaryota; Metazoa; Chordata; Mammalia; Perissodactyla; Equidae. The transcript is spliced from 3 exons.